CCUACGGGAGGCAGCAGUGGGGAAUUUUGGACAAUGGGCGCAAGCCUGAUCCAGCAAUGCCGCGUGCAGGAAGAAGGCCUUCGGGUUGUAAACUGCUUUUGUACGGAACGAAACGGUCUGGGUUAAUACCCUGGGCUAAUGACGGUACCGUAAGAAUAAGCACCGGCUAACUACGUGCCAGCAGCCGCGGUAAU
This 194-nucleotide ribosomal RNA is filed under the name uncultured bacterium. RNAcentral's name for it is "partial 16S ribosomal RNA". It matches the Rfam family "Bacterial small subunit ribosomal RNA", at positions 338 to 524 of the family's 1533-position model. The record is from RNAcentral. RNAcentral also lists the same sequence under 1 other name.